RNAcentral lists this ribosomal RNA (253 nucleotides) under uncultured bacterium. RNAcentral's name for it is "partial 16S ribosomal RNA". It matches the Rfam family "Bacterial small subunit ribosomal RNA", at positions 524 to 776 of the family's 1533-position model. The record is from RNAcentral.
UACGGAGGGUGCAAGCAUUAAUCGGAAUUAUUGGGCGUAAAGGGCGCGUAGGCGGAAAGAUAAGUCAGAUGUGAAAUCCCGAAACUCAAUUUCGGGGCUGCAUUUGAAACUAUCUAUCUUGAGGAUUGGCGGAGAGAACGGAAUUCCACGUGUAGCGGUGAAAUGCGUAGAUAUGUGGAAGAACACCUGUGGCGAAAGCGGUUCUCUAGCUUAUACCUGACGCUGAGGCGCGAGAGCAAGGGGAGCAAACAGG